UUUUUCAUAGAAUGAAUUUCGAUGACCUCGUGGAAGAAAUGGAUUCCGAAGUUGAAUGCUCACAACCGUUGAGCCCCCAUAGAGAUAAAGUGUUUAAAAAAAUAUCUUACAACCUCGUUUGCGCUCCUCGAGUAGAACCAUCACAAAUUGUGGUACCGUCACCAUCUUCUGGCGGCCAUGCAGAUAUAAUCCAGAAGCUGGAUGCGAUUGAGACCCGACUCACUGCCAUUAAAAAGUCCCUAACAGACAAAGUAAGUAACGCAGUAUUACAUUACCAAAUUAAAACAGAAGCUAAUUUUUAUAAUUUAAUUUUCUAAAUGCCAGAAAAGGCCGAGGUGCAGGCACAAAGCAAGUUAUUGCGCGAAUGCCGCGUCAUAGCGACAAACAUGCAUCAUUCGAUUAUCCGCAUUACCCGUGACUUGGAGGACGAACAUUACGUGGAGCUCGCUUCGAAACUGCCUAUGUCAUCGGAAGAGCACGUAUUAGUUUUAAGUUGUAAAUAUUAGUUCUAAGUUGUACAUAUUAGUUUUAUGUUGUAAAUAUUAGUUUUAAG
Molecule: long non-coding RNA, 553 nt
Organism: Bactrocera neohumeralis
Lineage: Eukaryota; Metazoa; Arthropoda; Insecta; Diptera; Tephritidae
Exons: 3
Source: RefSeq, a predicted model, not a curated record